Mustela erminea (ermine) is the source of this 1077-nucleotide long non-coding RNA. RefSeq lists it as uncharacterized. The record is from RefSeq and is a predicted model, not a curated record. NCBI's taxonomy places the organism in Eukaryota, Metazoa, Chordata, Mammalia, Carnivora, Mustelidae. The transcript has 4 exons.
CUCGCCGUGGACUCCGUGCCGUCCAGACCCCUCCUCACUCGGGAAGAAAGCGAACGCAAAAGCAGGUCGGCUAUUCUAAAGGAGACGGGGCUAACCUGACUACCUGGGGAGUCAGGACAAAGGAUUUCUUCCUUUUCUGAGCUCUACCACAAGCUCUGGACACAAGAUGAAGUGGGGGCUCUUUUGAAAGCUGUCAUCAAACAAAGGUCAUCUUCCAGUUGUCUGCAAGCUCAGACUCUGCUGAUCAGGAGGAAUCCCUUCAUCGUCCUGGAUCUUGGGAUCUGCUCUUUCUCUUGGAUGGAGAAUUCAGCCUCCAGAGUCAUGGUAUUCCCCGUAAGGGUUUAUAUGAAAAUCCGUCCCUUGGCAGUGCCUCCAUCUGACGUUGAGUGAAAGGAAGAGACGGUUCAGUCCUGGGGAUGCAGCACAAAGCGGGACAUGGAGCUUGCUGGCCAAAAUGCGGGACAGAAUUGUUACGAAGGUCUUCUUACAGACGACUCGACAUUUACAUCUGGAAGAACAAUAGCAUUAUCUCACUGUUCCGGAAGAACUAAUGAACGAAGAUCGGGUACAGAUACAUGCUCAUGGCACUCUGGGAGGCCACGCUUUCUUAACAAACAGGAAGUGCAGGAAGCCAGUGUGGCUCCCUCUCAGGGAGGGGGAGAAACCCAGCUCUCUUCAGCCUCAUCUAGGCUUUCAGACCACAGCAGACUGUACCCCACAGAGGGGACAGGGCACCCAACCCCAGUACUGAGCUCUGGGCUUCGAGUCUACCGUUGUGGAUGUUGACAGGGCUGUGCAUGUGUGGACUUACCCAAACCUCACUGCAAGCCUUGGAGGGACAACUGCACAGAAGCCAUCACAUGCCCUUGGGCCUGAAGUCCUGAUUUCCACACCUGGAACCUAUUGGUCACAUGUCCAGCAGCUCAGAUUGCCCUCCCUGGGAUGACUCAGGCUGGUCUCCUACUCCCCAGGGUUAGAGCUGGCUUUUCUCAUCCUCACUCCUGCUACAGACCUCUUAUACUAGUUUCCCUGCACCUCUUUUGCCUGGAUUAUAUAAAAUUAGCUCGCAUACUACAA